This 233-nucleotide long non-coding RNA is filed under the name Brassica rapa (field mustard). Its description in RNAcentral is "long non-coding RNA (BRAP_LNC008886)". The record is from RNAcentral. Lineage: Eukaryota; Viridiplantae; Streptophyta; Magnoliopsida; Brassicales; Brassicaceae.
GAAACCAGAAAAGUCCCCUUGAAAGGAUUUUUGUGGUUAAAUCCUUAUCAAGUUGGGGAGACUUGAACAACGAUGGUCAAAGAUAUUUGAUCAUCGAAGUGGUCAUUUGGUGGUUCUGAAUCAAGCUUGUUCUAUUCUCCGAUCAAGACUAGAAUAUGUUCGGUUGGAAUAUUUUGUCUUGGGACAAGGUAUAAUCAUCACCGGAUUCGAGGAUGAAUCCAUUACAAGUGGGG